GUUUUAGUAGAGAGGGGGGUAGAAUUGCAGGGUGUAGCGGGGGAAAUGGGUAGAAGAUCUGAAGGAAUACCGGGUGGGCGAAAGGCGGCCCCCUUGGACGAAGAGUGAACGGUUCAGGUGCGAAAGCGUGGGGAACAAAACAGGAUUAGAUACCCUGGUAGUGCACACCGUAAACGAUGUCGACUUGGAGAUUGUGCCCUUGAGGCGUGGCUUCCGGAGCUAACGCGUUAAGUCGACCGCCUGGGGAGUACGGCCGCAAGGUUAAAACUCAAAUGAAUUGACGGGGGCCCGCACAAGCGGUGGAGCAUGUGGUUUAAUUCGAUGCAACGCGAAGAACCUUACCUGGUCUUGACAUCCACAGAACUUUCCAGAGAUGGAUUGGUGCCUUCGGGAACUGUGAGACAGGUGCUGCAUGGCUGUCGUCAGCUCGUGUUGUGAAAUGUUGGGUUAAGUCCCGCAACGAGCGCAACCCUUAUCCUUUGUUGCCAGCGGUCCGGCCGGGAACUCAAAGGAGACUGCCAGUGAUAAACUGGAGGAAGGUGGGGAUGACGUCAAGUCAUCAUGGCCCUUACGACCAGGGCUACACACGUGCUACAAUGGCGCAUACAAAGAGAAGCGACCUCGCGAGAGCAAGCGGACCUCAUAAAGUGCGUCGUAGUCCGGAUUGGAGUCUGCAACUCGACUCCAUGAAGUCGGAAUCGCUAGUAAUCGUGGAUCAGAAUGCCACGGUGAAUACGUUCCCGGGCCUUGUACACACCGCCCGUCACGCCAUGGGAGUGGGUUGCAAAAGAAGUAGGUAGCUUAACCUUCGGGAGGGCGCUUACCACUUUGGGAUGCCAAUCGGUG
This 846-nucleotide ribosomal RNA is filed under the name Shigella flexneri. RNAcentral describes it as "bacterial SSU rRNA". It matches the Rfam family "Bacterial small subunit ribosomal RNA", at positions 642 to 1480 of the family's 1533-position model. Lineage: Bacteria; Pseudomonadati; Pseudomonadota; Gammaproteobacteria; Enterobacterales; Enterobacteriaceae. The record is from RNAcentral.